AAAUCUUGUUCUCAUUCACAACAUUCUCAUCGCAUCAAAAAAAAAAAAAUCAUCAGAUAAAGAGUAGAACAAAAAAUUCGAAAUCAUGAAUAAAAGCUUUUUGAAAGUCUUGUUUGCAGCUCUUAUGUUGGUUUUGGUUAUGAUGUCCGCUGCACCGCAUGCUGUUAAUGCCGGUGAGCCAAGUUGGACUAGCGUCCCUGAGGAUGCCGACAGUCAAUGGGACGAAAAUGAAGGGUGAAACUAGUCACCGAAAACACUAGUAUGGCAAAAGCGUUUCAAGUUUUUACAUAAAUAAAUGAUUUGCACAUAUUUACAAGUGUAAAAGGAGGUGAACUCUGCAGAUGUUGUUGUUGUGGUCUUAUAGACGACCUUGGGCUCAUUCGUCUGCUUGAGUCACAGUAAAUUAAUAUAGUCUAAGUGUUGCUUCUGUGUGAAUGAUUCUUGCCGA
Molecule: long non-coding RNA, 448 nt
Organism: Papaver somniferum (opium poppy)
Lineage: Eukaryota; Viridiplantae; Streptophyta; Magnoliopsida; Ranunculales; Papaveraceae
Exons: 2
Source: RefSeq, a predicted model, not a curated record